GACGAACGCUGGCGGCGUGCUUAACACAUGCAAGUCGAACGGAAAGGCCCUGCUUUCGUGGGGUGCUCGAGUGGCGAACGGGUGAGUAACACGUGAGUAACCUGCCCUUGAUUUUGGGAUAACUUCAGGAAACUGGGGCUAAUACCGGAUAGGAGCUCCUGCUGCAUGGUGGGGGUUGGAAAGUUUCGGCGGUUGGGGAUGGACUCGCGGCUUAUCAGUUUGUUGGUGGGGUAGUGGCUUACCAAGGCUUUGACGGGUGGCCGGCCUGAGAGGGUGACCGGCGACAUUGGGACUGAGGUACGGCGCAGAGUCGUACGGGAGGCAGCAGUGGGGAGUAUUGCACAAUGGGCGGGAGCCGGAUGCGGCAACGCCGCGUGCGGGAUGACGGCCUUCGGGUUGUGAACCGCUUCCGCCUGUGACGAAGCGGGAGUGACGGUAAUGGGUGAAGAAGCACCGGCUAACUACGUG
This 468-nucleotide ribosomal RNA is filed under the name uncultured bacterium. RNAcentral's name for it is "partial 16S ribosomal RNA". It matches the Rfam family "Bacterial small subunit ribosomal RNA", at positions 28 to 507 of the family's 1533-position model. The record is from RNAcentral.